Long non-coding RNA from Mangifera indica (mango), 1057 nucleotides. RefSeq lists it as uncharacterized. Lineage: Eukaryota; Viridiplantae; Streptophyta; Magnoliopsida; Sapindales; Anacardiaceae. The record is from RefSeq and is a predicted model, not a curated record. The transcript is spliced from 3 exons.
CUUACUUCAUGUUGCCUUCUGAAGUAUUUGGCUAACUUUCUGCAAUUUAUAUUCGUGGUCUAUGCUCUGUAGUUCUCUAUUACAGAAUGUUGAAGUGCCUCUUUUUUUAAAUGUUAUUCAGUGUGUUUUCAGGUUGGCUUUAUCUCAGGCUUGUAACUAGGCGUGUGGACACAAAUUCGCUUGACUGUCAUUUUAAUAUUCUCUGGAUUUUCUUGCCUGGAAUUGGAUUAUGUUACUAACUACUAUUUAAUUAGGUGUUAUAUGGUUACAGAUAUGUUUUGCUGCUAUUUGGUUCUCUAGGCUAUGAAGGGGUAUUGUUUGCUCUUCGGUAAUGCUGGGUUGUUGAGUCCUCGGUUAACAGCAGGAAACAAAUUGAUGCCGUACAUUUCAUUCAUGCCUUCCAGCUUACUGAAAGCUUCCCCCCUGUUCCCCUCUUGAAGACAUACUUAAAGAAUUGAAGGAGAAACUCACAGGGAAAGGGUGUGAGUUCGGGUGGAGAUACUAGUGCACAGAUUGAUGUAAAUGCACAGGAACUUGCUGCUUUGAAAGCUGUAGUUAGUUGUGUCCAAGAGUACAGGCUUGAACCUGACUAUCCUCUCGAUCCACUUCAGAAAAGGGGUGGAGAUUUUGGUAGACGUCAACACUCCAAGAAACAAAGAGCAAACUGAGGAUACGGUGGAUUUCUUUCUCACAGUGGCAAGGCAGCUCCCGGUAGGCUUGUUCCGCCUGUUUUCUGAUGUGUCGUGCACUUGUGAGCAAGACACAACAUUUUCUUUGACAGGGCAGCAUAUGGAGGAAUGCCUGAGAGAUAUCCUCUGGCUGGUCCAAACUCUUACGAUUAUCAAGUUCAUAGCCAGCCUGUUUUUGCUCAGCAACCAAAUGAUCAAAGAAUAUGCUUUUAUCCCCACGAUGUAGUUAUCAAAUGCAAGAUUUAUGUGCAACCUUAGUGAAUGUGCAGAGAAUGUAUUUGUGAGUGAAUGACAUUUUCCCACCCACGUUUGGCUAUAAAACACUUCUUCACCCCAAAUUAACAUAAGAAACCUUUCUUCAUCCAAAA